RNAcentral lists this ribosomal RNA (253 nucleotides) under uncultured bacterium. RNAcentral describes it as "partial 16S ribosomal RNA". It matches the Rfam family "Bacterial small subunit ribosomal RNA", at positions 524 to 776 of the family's 1533-position model. The record is from RNAcentral.
UACGUAGGGUGUGAGCGUUAAUCGGAAUUACUGGGCGUAAAGUGUGCGCAGGCGGCCGAGCAAGUCGAGUGUGAAAGCCCCGAGCUUAACUUGGGAACUGCGCUCGAAACUACUUGGCUAGAGUGUGGCAGAGGGAGGUGGAAUUCCACGUGUAGCGGUGAAAUGCGUAGAGAUGUGGAGGAACACCGAUGGCGAAGGCAGCCUCCUGGGCCAACACUGACGCUCAUGCACGAAAGCGUGGGGAGCAAACAGG